Pelobates cultripes (western spadefoot toad) is the source of this 297-nucleotide non-coding RNA. The record is from the annotation of a GenBank genome assembly. NCBI's taxonomy places the organism in Eukaryota, Metazoa, Chordata, Amphibia, Anura, Pelobatidae.
AAAGAGGAGGAGGAAAAGAAACGGUGGUAUAUGAAGAUCCCUAAGAUGUUUGGGAAUUGCUUAAGGGCGUUCUGCAUCUUGGCCAGCGUGAUGGGCGAAAAGGCAGUGGAGCGCUGUUCACAGCUUUUUUGUUACCUGGAUGGAAUUUGGGAGCCGUAUCGCACGUACAGGGGUCUGGCAUGGUGGUGAUAUGACAAGCAGUUUCGUCAGCGCCUGACUGCUAAUCCGGGGAUGCGGUGGGACCAGAUGCACCUACCACUCUGGAUAAAACUUAUGAUGGUGCAGAAGGCGUCUCCC